Molecule: ribosomal RNA, 490 nt
Filed under: uncultured bacterium
Lineage: Bacteria
Description: partial 16S ribosomal RNA
Rfam family: Bacterial small subunit ribosomal RNA
Source: RNAcentral
AUUGAACGCUGGCGGCAUGCCUUACACAUGCAAGUCGAACGGCAUCGCGGGAAAGCUUGCUUUCCUGGCGGCGAGUGGCGAACGGGUGAGUAACACAUCGGAACGUACCGGCUAGUGGGGGAUAACCCGUCGAAAGACGGGCUAAUACCGCAUACGCUCUUCGGAGGAAAGCAGGGGACCUUUGGGCCUUGCGCUAGUCGAGCGGCCGAUGUCCGAUUAGCUAGUUGGUGGGGUAAAGGCCUACCAAGGCGACGAUCGGUAGCGGGUCUGAGAGGACGAUCCGCUACACUGGGACUGAGACACGGCCCAGACUCCUACGGGAGGCAGCAGUGGGGAAUCUUGGACAAUGGGGGCAACCCUGAUCCAGCAAUGCCGCGUGGGUGAAGAAGGCCUUCGGGUUGUAAAGCCCUUUCGGCAGGGAAGAAAUCGGCGGGGCGAAUAACCCUGCUGGAUGACGGUACCUGCAGAAGAAGCACCGGCUAACUACGUG